Molecule: transfer RNA, 64 nt
Filed under: Villorita cyprinoides
Lineage: Eukaryota; Metazoa; Mollusca; Bivalvia; Venerida; Cyrenidae
Description: tRNA-Asn
Source: RNAcentral
UAAGCUUUAGUUUAUAAAAAAAUUUUUGACUGUUAAUCAAAUGAAACUUUUAAAGUAGGCUUAG